UGCGUAGGCGGUUUGAUAAGUCAGAGGUGAAAGCCCGCAGCUUAACUGUGGAAUUGCCUUUGAUACUGUUGGACUUGAAUCAGGUUGAGGUUGGCGGAAUGUGGCAUGUAGCGGUGAAAUGCAUAGAUAUGCCAUAGAACACCAAUUGCGAAGGCAGCUGACUAGACCUGUAUUGACGCUGAGGCACGAAAGCGUGGGGAGCGAACAGGAUUAGAUACCCUGGUAGUCC
RNAcentral lists this ribosomal RNA (229 nucleotides) under uncultured bacterium. RNAcentral's name for it is "partial 16S ribosomal RNA". It matches the Rfam family "Bacterial small subunit ribosomal RNA", at positions 568 to 796 of the family's 1533-position model. The record is from RNAcentral.